This 150-nucleotide ribosomal RNA is filed under the name Nicotiana attenuata. RNAcentral's name for it is "rRNA 5_8S_rRNA". It matches the Rfam family "5.8S ribosomal RNA". Rfam says of the family: 5.8S ribosomal RNA (5.8S rRNA) is a component of the large subunit of the eukaryotic ribosome. It is transcribed by RNA polymerase I as part of the 45S precursor that also contains 18S and 28S rRNA. The record is from Rfam by way of RNAcentral. Lineage: Eukaryota; Viridiplantae; Streptophyta; Magnoliopsida; Solanales; Solanaceae.
GACUCUCGGCAACGGAUAUCUCGGCUCUCGCAUCGAUGAAGAACGUAGCGAAAUGCGAUACUUGGUGCGAAAUGGGAUACUUGGUUCGCCGAUCACCGAUACACUGGUGAGUUAAAUCGUUCUAUCUUGGGAGGAUAUAUUCCAGAACCU